CUUUAUCCUUGAAACUUUUUCCACAACUCCCACAAGCAAAAGGCUUCUCACCUGUGUGAAUUCUCAUGUGCCGAGUUAAAGUCC
Xiphophorus couchianus (Monterrey platyfish) is the source of this 84-nucleotide long non-coding RNA. RefSeq lists it as uncharacterized. NCBI's taxonomy places the organism in Eukaryota, Metazoa, Chordata, Actinopteri, Cyprinodontiformes, Poeciliidae. The transcript is spliced from 3 exons. The record is from RefSeq and is a predicted model, not a curated record.